This 1697-nucleotide ribosomal RNA is filed under the name Netzelia tuberspinifera. RNAcentral describes it as "Difflugia tuberspinifera partial small subunit ribosomal RNA". It matches the Rfam family "Eukaryotic small subunit ribosomal RNA", at positions 723 to 1831 of the family's 1831-position model. Lineage: Eukaryota; Tubulinea; Elardia; Arcellinida; Netzeliidae. The record is from RNAcentral.
GGGGAACGGGGACGGCACCUCCGGACGACUUACCUUGAAAAAAUUAGGGCGUUCAAGGCGGGCGAAUCGUCGCCCCGAAUAGAUUAGCACGGGAUAACGGAACAGGGCUUCGGUCCGAGUUCGUUGGUUCCUACCUCGGACCGGAGCGCAUGAUUGAUAGGGACGGUCGGGGCCGCUCGCAUCGGGUCGUCAGAGGUGAAAUUCUAGGACCGACCCGAGACGAACGGGUGCGAAGGCGUUCGGCAAGGACGUUUUCGUUAAUCAAGAACGAAAGUUGGGGGAUCGAAGUCUUCAGUCCCCAAUAGUCCCGGGCCAACGCCCGGGGCUAGUCACGUAACUAUGGCGACACCAUCGAAUUGCGGGGAAGUCCUAGUGCACGGGCUACGAAGCGCGGCGGGUGACCUCCGCGUGGCCGGGUUAACGACCCCGGGUAACGUAACAACGCCCGUGACGAUCCCGCCUCGCGCGGGUGAAAGGGAUGAUCCGCAGCCAAUCCCCGUCCGAGCGUCGGACGGGAGCGUUCAGAGACUAUGCGGUGGGUGGGGGCGGGGCCGCGCGGGCCCCGUCAUAAGAUAUAGUCCAGCCCCCUGGUAACAGGGUCUCCGGGCAAAGCCCCGGCGGUAGUUACCGACGCGCGCGCAACGGCGCCGCGUUGCCGCCCUGGCCCGAACCCGGAGAUUUGGCCACGCGAACAUUGGUGUGACCAAAGGACCAACUGCGAAGACGAUCAGAUACCGUCGUAGUUUCGACCGUAAACGAUGCCGACCGAGGGCCCGGGGACGUUACGCAGUACGACUCCGCGGGCCCCCCUCGUCGAGAAAUCGGGAGUAUUUGGGUUCCGGGGGGAGUACGGUCGCAAGGCCGAAACUUAAAGGAAUUGACGGAAGGGCACCACCAGGAGUGGAACCUGCGGCUUAAUUUGACUCAACGCGGGAAAACUCACCGGGUCCGGACACGGUAAGGAUUGACAGGUCGACGGAUCUUUCUCGAUUCCGUGGAAAGUGGUGCAUGGCCGUUUUUAGUUGGUGGAUCGGUCCGUCUGGUUUAUUCCGUUAACGAACGAGACCUCGACCCGUCGAAUAGCUCGACGAGCCCGGCCCCGGCUUCGGCCGGCGGCCGAAGGCUCGCCCACGGCCGCAACGGCGGUUGUCGCCUGGCUGCUCGUCCCUCGGGGCGGGCGGUUGGGCGGAGCUUCUCGGAGGGACCCCCCGUUCUUCGAAGCGGGAGGAGGCGCGAGGCGAAAACAGGUCUGUGAUGCCCUUAGAUGUUCCGGGCCGCACGCGCGUUACAGUGACGCGCUCAACGAGCUUAGCCCCGGCCCGGAGGGGUCGGGGAACCUUCAGGACGCGUCGCGGUGGGGACAGACCGUUGCAACUGUCGUUCUCGAACCAGGAAUUCCUAGUAGGCGCGGGUCAUCAACCCGCGCCGAUUACGUCCCUGCCCUUUGUACACACCGCCCGUCGCUCCUACCGAUCGAACGGUCCGGCGAGGACUCGGGACAGUUCGGGACCCCCGCGGCCGAAAGGCUACGGGACCCGAGCUGGAACCUGUUCGAACCUUAUCGUUUAGAGGAAGGAGAAGGUCGUCGAACGGUCCGGCGAGGACUCGGGACGGUUCGGGACCCCCGCGGCCGCAAGGCUACGGGACCCGAGCUGGAACCUGUUCGAACCUUAUCGUUUAGAGGAAGGAGAAGUCGU